RNAcentral lists this ribosomal RNA (155 nucleotides) under Escherichia coli. RNAcentral describes it as "partial 23S ribosomal RNA". It matches the Rfam family "Bacterial large subunit ribosomal RNA", at positions 2776 to 2925 of the family's 2925-position model. The record is from RNAcentral. Lineage: Bacteria; Pseudomonadati; Pseudomonadota; Gammaproteobacteria; Enterobacterales; Enterobacteriaceae. RNAcentral also lists the same sequence under 1 other name.
AGCAUCUAAGCACGAAACUUGCCCCGAGAUGAGUUCUCCCUGAGACUUAGAGUCUCCUGAAGGAACGUUGAAGACGACGACGUUGAUAGGCCGGGUGUGUAAGCGCAGCGAUGCGUUGAGCUAACCGGUACUAAUGAACCGUGAGGCUUAACCUU